Molecule: long non-coding RNA, 555 nt
Organism: Armigeres subalbatus
Lineage: Eukaryota; Metazoa; Arthropoda; Insecta; Diptera; Culicidae
Exons: 3
Source: RefSeq, a predicted model, not a curated record
AGAGACAGAAUGUAUAUGUACUAGUGAAAGUACAUAUACAUAACUGCCUCCAAUGACAGUUGAAUGUAAAUAAAAUAUAAAUAAAGAUCUUCGGGAACUUUUUCCCGAAUAUUUUAAUUAUUUUAUUAUUUGCUAUUAGUAAAUAAAAGCUAAGUAAAUUUGCUAUCGGUUUGCUUUUCCUCGAUGCGAUUCUCCUCUCCUUUCGGCUCGGAACAGCCUCCGUCGUCUGGCCAGCAAAGCAGCAUAGUCGUGUUUGCAGACAAAAAUAUUAGUGAAGCGAUCCUGACAAAGGUUUGCACUAUCGCUUUCAGCGACGCACCUCUUCUUUCGGCUCGGAUCAGGUUUCGUUGUCUGGCCACUUCCAAAGAAAUGAAGCGAAGUACGAUGAAAAUUGAGAAAUGGUCUAGUAUGUGGUGUUGCAGAAACAAAUGCAUCCGGAAGAGCAUCCAUCCAUCCGGUGCGGCCAUUUGCUUCCGGUCCAUUAGCAGGACAAGUUCCAAGCACUUGAGGAGCAACAAUAUGUACAAAACUAAAUAAAAAUCAAUUUAAAAUUGA